Molecule: ribosomal RNA, 507 nt
Filed under: uncultured bacterium
Lineage: Bacteria
Description: partial 16S ribosomal RNA
Rfam family: Bacterial small subunit ribosomal RNA
Source: RNAcentral
GACGAACGCUGGCGGCGUGCCUAAUACAUGCAAGUCGAACGCAUUUUCUUUCACCGUAGCUUGCUACGCCGAGAGAAAAUGAGUCGCGAACGGGUGAGUAACACGUCUGCAACUUGCCCAUCAGUGGGGGAUAACACCUGGAAACAGGAGCUAAUACCGCAUAAUUCCAUUUACAGCAUGGCAGAGGGCUGUAAGGCACUUUUGCGUCACUUAUGGAUGUACCCGCGGUGCGUUAGCUAGUUGGUGGGGUAACGGGCUACCAAGGCUGCGAUGCAGAGCCGAGCUGAGAGGGUGGUCCGCCACACUGGGACUGAGACACGGGCCAGACGCCUUAGGGAGGCAGCAGUAGGGAAUCUUCGGACAUGGGGGCAAGUCUGACCGAGCAACGCCGCGUUAGUGGAGAAGGUUUUCGGAUCGUAAAACUCUGUUGUUAGAGAAGAAAAAGCAUGAGGGUGGAACGUUCAUCCCUUGACGGUAUCUAAACAAAAAGCAACGGCUAACUACGUG